RNAcentral lists this long non-coding RNA (3016 nucleotides) under Amborella trichopoda. Its description in RNAcentral is "long non-coding RNA (ATRI_LNC001436)". Lineage: Eukaryota; Viridiplantae; Streptophyta; Magnoliopsida; Amborellales; Amborellaceae. The record is from RNAcentral.
AUUAACACACAUUAAUACUGAGGAGGUGACCCAAUAAUAGAAAUUAUUAACAUAUAUUACGAAAGAAAUAAGGUAACAAAACCACUGUCAAUGUGCAAAUGGGUACAAAAACCAAUGUGAGAUUUGAUAAACAACAAAUAAAAUGCUAUAAACAAGAAUCAAAAUGUGCAUAAUAAUUGCACCUUGCAAUGUAAAAGGAAGAAAAAUGCAGACUUUAACUUUGGCUGAUAAAUAGGGAUUACAGACUGCAUCUCGCUCAGCAAGGGAUCAUUGUAGAAAAAGAAAUCUGACGAUAAGAAGGAAUUCAAAUUUAGAAGUUGAGCGGUGACAAAAUAAAAGCAAAAAAAUAAAAAGAGUUGAGAUUUUGCAAAAGGAAAUAUUGAAUAGGUAAGUUGAAAAGGGCAAACAAACAUAACGAAGAUGAGAACCCAGGUUUUAAAUGAUAGUAUAAGCAGUUCAAACAAAACCAGGAAUAAAAAGAUAUAGUUACAGAUAUGGUAGCAAAAACAAUUUCAUAGAAGCAAGAACUAUAACUUUUGUCAAAACAGUAGGAGCAAACAAUGAUAAAAAGAGGAGGCAUCAGGUUCACUAUGCAAUCAAGAAUAUAAAUAAACAAUCAGAAGAAAAAAAAAAAAAGUGAAAACACCAACAACCUCAGCAAAAAAAAAAUGCAAGCAACAAAAUGGUCUGAAAUUGAAAAAAAAAAAAACCAAAUUGGGGUUUACACGCAAAAUAAAGAAAGAAAGAUCAUUUCUUAGUUGAGAAUAAUGUCACAAAACCCGACGAACGAAACCUAGAUAAUGCAAAAAAAUAUGAGGAGAUGAAAAAUCGUACAAUAGAAAAAGAAAAAGAUCUCAUUACAUAGUAAUAAGGAAAAAAGGUUUCUUAAAAAACAAAAAAGAUCUCAUCACAUAGUAAUAAGGAAAAAAGGUUUCUUAAACAAACUAAGAUCGAAUGAAUAUAUGGGGCCCCUGAAGAGAAAAUAAAUUAAAAUAAAAUAAAGUAGCCAACAUGUGGUUCAAAAUAUUUGGAUCAACUUACUCUAGACAAAUAUGAACCACGGAGCUUAGGGGCCUUGUACCACCCGGUUGCCACUUUGAAGAAAUAUGAACCACAAAGCUCAAAUUUGGCUUUCGUAUACAAUUUUUUAUUAAGACGUCUGUUACAUGAAACAUGUUGGUUCCUGACAUAGAGCCUCAACCUUUCAUCGAUGUCAUAAUUACAAAUCACACGUAUGUUUCAUCUGCCUAUGUCUAGAAGGUGAUUAAUGCUAUGUGAGUGUUGGACCUCACUUUCUGAUGAUUUAAACAAAAAAUAUCAUGUGUCUUUGUGCAUGUGAAAUGUAUGUCCAAACCCUUUGUGCAUGAGCAAUACAUAACAUGAUAAAACAAUCGUAUAAAUGGAAAAAGAUCCAUAUAACAUCCACGGAAUGAAUGAGUCGUCAUCAAAGCAUUUUUCUGGGUAAUUAGUUUUGCUACACAAAUUUUGGACCGUCAUUAUUCUUUAAUAUGGGUCAUAGUCUCAAUGAGGCCAAAAGUCUUCAUAUCUUUUCUCACUAUUUGCAACUAUGUCCUUUUGGGCCUAUCUUUUAUCUUUCUUAAGCAUUCCACUUGAACUAGCUCGCACCUCCUAACACGUGUUGUAUUGGAUUUGUGCCGCCCAUGGCUAGCACAUGUAAGUUUACUUUCUCUCAUCUAAUCUUAUUGGUACCACACCUAAAUUCUCCCAAAUCUAUUUAUUGAAAGUUGGAUUAUGCAAUCAAACAUGGUGUAUAUAAAUUAAAAUUUUUGAGAGAGAGAUAAAGAGAGAAGAGAUAAUAAGUGUAGUGAUUUUAUGAGAUAGGAGAGCAUCCUUUUAUAGAUUUCUUAUGUCUUAGGGUUUGCAUCAAUUUGUAUGGUCAAAUCUUGAUCGUCGAUCAAGGGAGACUUGUGGGGUGAGAGAUGUGAGUGAUUCAUCCCUUUGAUCCACCAUCAAGAUUCAAAGGGGUGUGUGCUAGAGCCUCUUCCUCCCUUUCCUAGUACCAUUCCCAUCAAAUCUUUCAAAUAAAGAAAGUUUCUAUUUUUAUAUAUCUAAUUCUUAUUUGUUAGAUCAAGCAAUCUAGAUUCAAAGAUUUACUAAAUAUUUCAAAUAUUUAAUCUUAUCAUAUAAGUUGGCUAUACCCAAAAAAAAAAGCCAACAAACAAGGGGACAACUGUCACCCAAUCAUGGUGAAGACGUUAGUCACAAUGGGUGAGGCGUGCCACCCUUUGGUGACCAUACGUUGCCCCACCCAAUCCCACAUGUUCAAAAUUGAGCCCCUAUAUUUAUGGAGGUCUCAUAUAUUUUUAGAAAAUAUUUUAUUUUGUAUUUGAAAUUUUAAAAUCUUAUAUUUUAUUUAAAAUAUUGAAAAAUUAAUUUUUUUCUUAACUUAUAAAUCCAAAUGACAAAAAUAAAAUAUCAAAAGAUUCACAAAAAUUCAAAUAAACAUCUAAAAAUCAUAUAUCAUAAAAUUAAUUAAAGCUAAUUAAUUUUGAUGGGAAUGGGAUCCGUUAGAUCUAGGAAUUUAUCAAUAUACAGGAGCACUCCACCUUCAACUGCGGAUCACGAUCCACCUAGUUUUCUCAAACUAACCUAACAGUUUCCAUGACUCACAGUCCACUGCAGGGGCUCAUGAUUGGACUACUCAAAAUCAACCGAUAGACUAAGGGACGCAAGCCCAUUAUAUGGAUUUCAGGUUCUCCCCUAGAGACCAAAAAAUUAUGGUCCUUCAGACCAUGAUGCAACCAUGACUCUAUGGUGCAUAGGGGUAAUCUUUCACACAUGUACACGUUUCACCCUCAUUGGUGAGUCUCAAUAUGGUUAUCUAUGUACAUGUCGUGAGAUGAUAUAAGGAUGAGGUUUUUAGUUAUGCCUCUAAAAGUUGUUUAUCACACGGAAGGGCCAUACAGUCCCUCAGCUCUCAUCUGGGCAUACUCCGACAUCAUCUAAGGCUAACCUACAAAAACUUUCUCAAUAGAUCCCUAUGCUCAGGUAUUUU